AGAACCUGAAUAAUUUAUAGCAAUCUUGAACACUCCACCACAGACCGGUUGGAUUUGUUCUUGAAUUCUUCAAUCGGACAGAAAAAUAAAAGCGAAGGAAUAAAUAAAAAAACUAGAUUCUAACGUAAGGUUAGAUCCGGUGAAAGAUACACAAUAGUUUCCGGUGUAGAAACUAUUGUGUGAAAAAUUAAUUAAGUGCUGAAAGCUUA
Molecule: long non-coding RNA, 209 nt
Filed under: Lathyrus oleraceus (garden pea)
Lineage: Eukaryota; Viridiplantae; Streptophyta; Magnoliopsida; Fabales; Fabaceae
Description: Pisum sativum (pea) long non-coding RNA (PSAT_LNC007098)
Source: RNAcentral